UACCAGCACCCCGAGUGGUCGGGACGAUUAUUGGGCCUAAAGCAUCCGUAGCCGGUCAUGCAAGUCUUCCGUUAAAUCCAGCCGCUCAACGGUUGGGCUGCGGAGGAUACUACGUGGCUAGGAGGCGGGAGAGGCAAGCGGUACUCAGUGGGUAGGGGUAAAAUCCUUUGAUCCAUUGAAGACCACCAGUGGCGAAGGCGGCUUGCCAGAACGCGCUCGACGGUGAGGGAUGAAAGCUGGGGGAGCAAACAGG
Molecule: ribosomal RNA, 253 nt
Filed under: uncultured bacterium
Lineage: Bacteria
Description: partial 16S ribosomal RNA
Rfam family: Archaeal small subunit ribosomal RNA
Source: RNAcentral